CAGAACGCGGCGCAACCUCAGUGCAACUCGCAGCACGACUCCGGGAUCCGAGCAAAACCUCGAGGGUUUUCCAUCUGCACGACAUUCACGUCCCGGAGGCCAAAAAGCGUGCGGAAUGCCUCACCCCCCCCCCCCGCAGAGCAUUGCUCUCAUAUCACUGCCUCCUAAACGGCUUGUGAAGAAACACACGGGUCCUUGUGUGUCACAGAUGGGCUGACACGUCGGUUUGCAGACGAGAGGAUCUUCUGACACUGUGUGAUGCACAGGCGAAGGCACCGAGCUCUCUGUGCUUCUGCCCUUGCUCGGUGUGCGAUGGAAGGCAGUAAUCAAAGCCUUAUAUUCAAGAGAGCAGCCGAGAGAUGGAGCGAAAGGGGAAAAUGUGAUUCUGAAGCAAAGCCGGGCCGGUUUCAGAGUUGGGGGAGAGCGGCUGUGGAGAGGAAGGGGCGCACGUGAUGUGCCUGUUGACGAGAGGACGUCUCAGGGGAGGGGAGGGGAGCCUCUGCGUUGGACGGGCCAGAGACCCAUCGGGAUCCAGGAAGGCGGACAUUUCACAAUCCUUCCAUUCCAGAAACCUUUUGCGUUUUUUUGGAAAGGAAAAUGCCUUAAAUGACAGAAACCGGCCCCCACAAAUACACAAAAGCCUUUAGCUGCAUGAACAACCAUCACACCACAUCCUCUUCAUCAAUGUUUCUUUAGCCCCCGGAAGCUCUUCUGGACGAGUCUACUUCUUUUUACGGCACCAGAAGCAGCAGCAUUGUUUGUCUGGAAGAAAUAGCAGAGGCACCAGGGACGUUUCAACUAACAAUAGUUAUUCCCGUCCCUUUAAAGGCUUUAUGGCUCAUAGCUGACAUUGAGUGUGCGUUGCUAUCGCUGGAUGGCGUUGGACGAGCGACAUUUUGAAACGGCUCGGUGUCGAGGCCUCUUCAGACUCUGCAGAUAAGAGAGGGACAUGCGAGAGGACGAUGACAGACACCUCGCUCCCGGCGGCGCGCGCUGAGACAACUAAAAUGGACGGAGCGCACAGGUUGAGGACAAAGACAAAAUGGAGCCGAUUAGGACGGGAGGACUAUUCAGAAAAAGAGCAUAUUUGACCAAUAACAUACAUCAGUUCCUACAGAUUUAACUAUUUAGUGUCAAAGGACGCAUCUGAGAGUCCAAAAUGAGACAAACGUUCCUUCAAUGCAGCUACUUGUCUCUUCUCUUUCCCUAUUAGGCUGGAGACAUGAAGCGUGCUUACACCAGCUGAAGGACAGCACUUGAACGCAUAUCACAGACCCCGAAAGUCUCCAUCCAAGUGUUUCGUCUUUGUCAGCCGACACUCGUGUGACCCCGGACAGUUUGAGUUUUAAAGCUGGGACCUUUUGGGAGGAAAGAAGGACGGAUUGAAGCUUCCAGGAGCGAAAGGUCUGAUUAACCAAACAACACCCACACGUUUCAGCUGCGCACUGACUGACAGCAGCGAAACAUAACGCUCUGUAAUACACGUUCAGAUUAAGGGGGAAUCGUCGAGUGACAGGCGGGUUCACAAGGAUUUGUCUUUAAUUUGGGUGCUGUCCUCCGUCCGCUCCGUCAGCUGUGAGGUUUCUACACGCUGGGGAAACGGUGCAUUGUGGGAACAUUCUGAUGCACAGUAAAGUGCAUUUAAAGUGAAAGCAGGUUUUGGUUUAGUGUCUCAUUACUGUCGUCAUCUCCUUCCGUCAGACACGGAAUUGAAUGUGGACUAAGCAACUGAGACCUUUUGUCUUAUUAACCUUCAACGUGACUAUCAAUUAAUUCAAACUGUUACUCCAGAUUCAUCUUUAACCUGCAGCAGACGGUUAUACGGUGCAUUCAUUUUUAUUCUCUACAUUACAGCUGACAUCCAUUCAAAAUGAGGUCCGUUUGGCUGCGGGAGGUCGUAAGAAGGUCAAAUAAACAGCUCAUUCAAAGCAUCAGACCUGUGCUGCAGCCUUGUGCUGCACUUGUUUCAGUAAAUGUUUCCCCUCAUCGAGCGGCACUCGUGUCGCGCUCACACAGAUCUCAUCACAGGGGGAGAAACUAAAGGUGAUGAAGAGCAGAAACUUUUCUGUCCCUUUUUAAUACAUUUGGAAGUAAUUCCUGCUUUCACUUUCACUUGAUGUUUCACAUUCAAUGUGACCUUUAAAAUACAUUUUAGCACCUUGUUAAAUAUUGUAACAUAUUCUCUCCCCGUACAGUUGUGAUAAACGUGGAUGUUAGUAAUGGAGAACGAAUGUUUUCGUACCAGUCUGUCCUCGCCAGUAGGAUGAAUAAUUAUCCACAUUCCAUAUGGAAUUUUGCGAAAGAGGCUUUUUCAGUGUCAGAUAUUGUUAAUCCGUGUGAACAAUGUGUGAAACAAGAAGUGAAAUUCUCCAUUAAAUUAAAUUCCCCUUUAAAGUCCCUUUGCCAAAAGCGUCAGACGAUGGAUGGUUAUUCAUGUCGUAGCAAGAAGUGAUGAGGAAAUGUUGCUUCUUGCUUCAAACAUUUCCCUCAAAGAGGCGACGUUCCCGGGACAAUUGUCUGUUGUGCAGAAAUAUAAAAGUGUUGUUUCUGUGCGACCUUUAAUCGUGUUUAUGUCACGCAUUAGUUCAACCAUGGUAAACAUUCUCGAUAGCAUCGCACGUCUAAUCCAACAGUACUUUUUGAAUUGACCUCAUCAAUGAUGUUGUUCAGCAGCCUGCAGGUAUCAACCAUCCGUCCAUUUGUAAUGGAAGUGAACGCGCAACAAUAAGAGACUCGUCGAUGUUGUGUCUCAGUUGUGUUCUCGGAGGGAAAACUAAGUAAUGAACUGUGCGAGAAACCAUCUGUGUUCCGUUUUCCAUUAGGCACAUCUCUGCUGUUAAAGAUGUCUACAAUGCAUUUGUAUGCGGGUGAAUCGCAAUGUAACAUAUUGAUUUGUGGACUCUCAAGAUCGGAAGUUGAGUACGGUUGACGGUUAGAAGUCAUUUUCCAACAAUGAAUUACAUCAAACAGUCUCCUCUGUGGAGUGUCUGCAUCAUUAAACACAGAUUCAAAUAACUCAAAUAAUUUAAACAAACUGCAUUUCCUCUAAAGACCUCGUUGUCCAGGAAAAAAGUAGUAUUUCAAAAUAAAAGCAUUUUAUUAAUUACAUUAUUAUUAUUACAGAAAAUAAGGAAAAUGCUGUACUUGAAUGACACCAAUUGAGUAAUUCACUUUGACUGAUUUCCAUAUUGCUAAUAAUAAUUAGAUGUUUAGAAAUGUUUUACAAUGUUCUAUGUGAUCUAUGAAAUCUUGAAUGUAGAUGUGUAUGAGAUUUAUUGGCGUAAAAAAAGGUCAUUUCAAUGAAACGUACAUUGUCAAAUCAACCAUUGAACAUUAGAUGAAAAAAGACCUUUAAUUAUGAAACAUACAGUACAUAAUGUAUUUCAUUUUAGCAUCAGUAAGUGACAGCACCGUUUUUCAUCUUGCAGAGUGACCCAAUUGCUUAAAUUGAGUUCACUCCAACUUUCUAACCGCACGCGAUCAGAAGCAGUUAACGUCUCGUUUUAGAUCCGAACUCACCAAUUGAUUCCUCCGCUAGCUGCUCGGCAGACAUGCUGGAAGGUUGAGAACAAACCUCGCUAUCUUCACCGCGGCGCCGCAGAGCGAUCGCAGCUGUGUGUGUGUGCUUUGAGCUCGGGAAAAGGCUAACGCGAGUUCUUCAACAUGGAGGACUCGUUCCGAACAGCAGGCCGCUCCGCACGCACCCGACCUCGGAUCGAUCACACCACCUCCCAAAUUGAAAAACUCAUUAAAUCCGGCGUCCUCGUCGGCCGUGUCUUGGAUCCCCUCCUCCCUCAUCGGGUUCGGGCGUAGCUCACUCCAUCACCUUCCCACGGAGUCCUCCACAUUACCCCCGAGCAGCUGUUUGGGAAAAUCUAAUUAUGCAUGGAGAUGAAAUUCAAAUUCAGGGGGCCUCCGUCAGCGUAGCUCAUGAUUUAUUGAACCUCGGGACGAGACGUUAAUAUAGACUCCAUUCACGACGGGCUCCUGUUCUGAUGUCUUCGUUAUCUCCCCAUCAGUUUGCGGGGGGUUGAUCUCGUGUCGGGGGCCACACAGCGGGGCUCGCGUGUCCGGAGUUCCCUCGUUAUGAAUAACCUUUCCAAAGGUUGCACCGUUUCAUUUGACAUUUCAAAAACGGCCCAAUUACAUUGAGUGACCUCUUUCUUUGACGUGACACGAGAACCCGGAGGAGGAGAAACACUUUGCUUUUCAAAGCACCGUGCGCUUUGAAGGUAUUUUUGGCGAUUCAUGUUCUUAAAUGAUGACACACUGCAGUUCAAGGAUUUACGAAAUGUGUGUUUUUUUCUCACAAUCCUCACUUUGCAACUGUCCUUCAUCCCUGUAACAAAGCCAGCUUUUAAUUGCAUCGUUUGAAUUGAUAGCUUUUUAGAUCAGCUUGUGUGCAACCCAGUUAGGAAAAAAGAAAAUAAACUCUGCUGCUUCAUAAAAUGAUAUGUGACACAAACGAAUCCUUGACAGCUUCAGAGAAACAUGACAUGAUCGCCUCGACUUAAAGCUCUACUUAUCAAUCUAUCAAUAUUCUUUAAAGAAAACAGUGGAUACACUAAGCACACUAAGGUGGUGGGGACCAAAACAGAGCACGCAACGAGUGAACAUUGGACUUGUUGCUCAGAUGGUUAGAAAUAUAACGUUAACUCCAACAAACCGCUAAUGGCUGCUAAUGCUAAGCUACUGCUUGAAGCUUCAUGUGUCCAAACCUUUCAGACAGUUUUC
Long non-coding RNA from Gasterosteus aculeatus aculeatus (three-spined stickleback), 4734 nucleotides. The record is from Ensembl. Lineage: Eukaryota; Metazoa; Chordata; Actinopteri; Perciformes; Gasterosteidae.